This 19-nucleotide non-coding RNA is filed under the name Arabidopsis thaliana (thale cress). The record is from RNAcentral. Lineage: Eukaryota; Viridiplantae; Streptophyta; Magnoliopsida; Brassicales; Brassicaceae. RNAcentral also lists the same sequence under 1 other name.
GCUUGGCAGAAUCAGCGGG